Molecule: long non-coding RNA, 2443 nt
Organism: Thunnus maccoyii (southern bluefin tuna)
Lineage: Eukaryota; Metazoa; Chordata; Actinopteri; Scombriformes; Scombridae
Exons: 3
Source: RefSeq, a predicted model, not a curated record
UAGAUUAUUCUGUCUUUAUCAGAAUCAACUCUGAAGAACACAGAAUAAGCUGUCAAUAUGUUUGUUUCUUUGACGACGACAUUUCACGCUCCUGUGAUUUUCUAAAUAAGUAUGAUCCUCCAUUUAUCAGAUUUUGGUUUCAAAAACUUCUCACUAUACAAAAUGUUUGGUCUGUUCUUCUUCUUUGUUUUAAAACCGGUGCAUUUCCGGUAGUCGCCCACUGAAUCUAAAACACGUAAGGCCCUCACUGGAGCCAGUGUUAGGUUUGUCCGUUCUGCGCUACUGUAGAAACAUGGCGAUACAACAUGGUGGCCACCGUGGAGGGGGACCCGCUCCCAUGUAGAUAUAAAGGGCUUAUUUCUAAGGUAUCAAACACUCUGCUUGUGCCUGUCUGCCUGUUUGCCAACGUUAGUCACACUGCAUGGCUGGAGGGCAGCAGAAGGCAGACACCAUCAUUGCCAUCAGGAAUGGGCAACAUGAUUGCUGAUUAGUUAUUUAGAUUGAGGUUUUCAUCUAUUGUACUCUGUGUUCUUUGGAUGUCGGCAAAGUUGAAUUCUUUCCAGUGCUGCUAUUCUCCCAUUAAUGCUGUGUGCCUGCGUGCUGAUGGUGUGUUUGUGGAGCAGCUCUGAGUGAUUACCGUGUAGAGCAACAGUACAGGCUCUCUUACCACAACGAAUUAAGCCAGAGUGCCAGGCCCACAGGGAAAACUCUUCAUCAGAGGACCAAGUAGAAGAUAAAAGAGUGCUACAACUCAAUCACUAUCUGAUCACAGAGUUUAACAGGAGACAAAACUCAGUGUGACACAUGCAAUGCAUCUAAUUACCGCAAAAUACACAGGUGGAAGCAGGAGCCAAACACAGCACAACAGCCUGGGGCUAAAGUCACAGCAAAAUUAAUAAUAAUGUGGCAUUCAGUGGUGUAUCAGACAAGAACAGUAAGGUAGCUUUACAAAACAAAGAUAAGACUCCAGGAUAGACAGUCGUGUCAGCACAAACAGACACACACACGUAUACGACACAGACACACAACUGGACGCACAUGCCACAAAUCAUAUCCCCUGUUUUGUUUCUCACUCCUCUUGCUCCUACUUUUGAUUUAUCCCUCCCAGACACUCAUGCAGACAAACACACAAAGGCACACAAACACCAUGACACUCGUGUACCGUGAUUAUUGCCUACAGUCACAAGGUCAAGCUGGUGAAUCAAACAGUCAUCCCAGUAGACACCAGUUUCCUCUGAGACAUGAAAGGCCUGGACAACAGCAUGCUACCAAGCUCAUAGUGCUCCUACAACCCCGCAACCAAGACCUCUGCUGGGAAUCACGGCAGGAGACACUCCCCUAGGGUCGGAGCCCCUUUGGAGAUGUACACUCAGCAGCAGCAGAGGAUCAAAGCCUGGUGGAGAAAAUAGAUCAGAUUAAUGAAGCCAAGCUGUUUCUUCAGCUCAGAGACAUGGAUGGUGACCAGCAUGGCUAAAUCUGCUCCUCUACAGAUUUCGUAAUGAUACACAGUUAUUCUUUGGUAUGCUGUCAACAAAAGGUUCCAUGGACAUAACUCAAAUGUGCUAUGAAAUGCAAAAUCUAAUUGAUGUGUUAAUAAUGCAUUGUCAAGGACCAACUCUGAGUUCUGUUUUUGUCCACAUGUAACCCACAAUCACUGCUAAUAGAUUUAGUUUGACGAUAAAGGAUGAUUCCAGCAACGUUAGCCUUAUUUUCACAGUUUUGCUAUCAUUUCUAUCCAUUCGGAUAAAAUUGUACUCACCAAAGUACUGGCUGAGAUUUGGGAACAUGAUGACAUUGCAGCAAUAAAACCUCAGACAGGUUGUAAACAAGCCAACUGUUUAGCCACAGGCUAUUCAGCUUUGGAGGAAAAACCAAAAGUGAGCUCACAAGUAAAGUUGGUAAACAAAGGCAAGUAUGGUACUGAAGGUCAAGUCGGACCAGGAAGUUGGUCUGUAAACUUUGGAUACUUUUGCCUUUGUUUUCUCUUCCAAAAAAAUUUGUGUAACCUGGGCUUUGUUAAAAAUACAUAUGAUCACGUGACUACUCUUUGGCUGGUUUUUAGCUAUGCAAUAAUGGGUUUUUGGUUAUUGCUGGGCCUUUUAAGUUGACAUGGUGAACAUUAGUAAAUAGCAAUAUUAGCAUUCUGUUGGAGUAGUGUUACUGGCCACCUCUGUUUUUGGUCUCCACCAGCUAGUUAUAGGGAAAUACCUGGCUCUUUAAUUGCUAAAUGCCCACUAUGUUCACCAGCUAGUUGGUAAUUUUGCCUGUCCCAUCAUUUGGCGCUAGGUGGGUAGCGUGCAGUGGGUUUUUACCCUGAAACAGCUGCCAGCUGUUCAGAUGCUGAUGAGAGCAGUGAGAGUGAACAAAAGAGGGUGAUUUCCUUACUACGAGCAACCUUUGAUGCAAGUGGUCAUAUGAGCUGUUGUGAAUAUAAAAAUGUUGA